Siniperca chuatsi (mandarin fish) is the source of this 252-nucleotide long non-coding RNA. RefSeq lists it as uncharacterized. The record is from RefSeq and is a predicted model, not a curated record. NCBI's taxonomy places the organism in Eukaryota, Metazoa, Chordata, Actinopteri, Centrarchiformes, Sinipercidae. The transcript is spliced from 2 exons.
CUUGUUUGGCCUCGGCUGCAUCAGAGCGCCACUUCUCCCCAGGUUCACCAGAGGAAACGCCACUGCACACAAUGCUUUCCCUCCCAGCUGCUGCUCUAUGCUGUCUGUGUUCAGCGCUGGUUGCCAUGGCAGCAGAGCUGAUUCAGGAUGAUUUAACAUUGACCAGGAGAGUUGGUGAAGCUGUCUCCUUCAGCUGUGGAGGAACUGACCAGUGUUAUGACAGUUAUGUAUACUGGUACCAGAAGAAAGAAA